RNAcentral lists this long non-coding RNA (1012 nucleotides) under Homo sapiens (human). RNAcentral describes it as "HSALNT0042155". Lineage: Eukaryota; Metazoa; Chordata; Mammalia; Primates; Hominidae. The record is from RNAcentral.
CUGCAGCCACGCCUGGGAGGGUAGGGAUCCUGCCUGCUCCUGCCAGCUCUGUGGAAUGUGGCACUGCCCCAGACCCAGCUCCACCUUGGGGCCUCUCUCUGCCCGCCCCUCUGUGCCUGACCGCGCUGCUCCCCCACCGGUGGGAGACUGGCUCAGCUCCCAGGGCAGUGGGUGAGGUGCAGGUGGCGCAGCACUCGGGCCAACCCGGCACAAAUGAACCUGACGCUCCUAGGGCCGGCCCUGCGUGUACCAGCUGCGCUGUCGGCCAGGUAUUCACCUCCCCCAGCAUGCAGUGGGAAGUGAGGUUGAGGCCGCGGUGGAGGCCGGGCGCGAGAGCAGGUGCUGCCCGGCCGUGCGAGGGUGGGGGUGGUGCAGUCGGCUGCCUCGGGGACGCGGGGUACAGGGGACCCACCGCCACCACUGCUGCUCUCACAGCUGCUCCUGCUGCCGCCUCUUGCGCCUCCCCACUGCAGCCCACAUGAUAGCAGCGGCCCCUCCGGAUGGCCUGCCGCUGCCAUCAGCAAGACACACAGGGGCCACAGGCGCCACAAGGGGAAGCACCAGAGUGGAUCAGGAGGCAGGAGCAAGACAAAAGUACAGACAAGAGCCUUUACUGUGGCAUCUACAGGAAGCAAUGGAUAAGGCAAGAACGUGAGCCAUGGUGAUGGAAGCCUCUUCCAAACCAAAGUGCUUAAUAAGUGCUCGUGAGGACCAUACAAUGUGGAAGGAACCUGGGUCCCUGAAAAUUCCCACAGAAGGCUACUGACCAAGAAAUCUUUCAAAAGACUAUGACAGGAGCAAAAACUACAUUUUUAUUGGGUUAAACUACAGAGAUUUCUGGGUGUAUCUGUUACAGCAACUGGUGUUAAUUAAACAGAGAAGAGCACCGUUCCAUUUUCUCUUUAAGGUUGGAGUAUUAAAUUGCCUCUAUUGUCUCUUUUACGGUAUUGAUAUUUUUUGAUUGAUUGAUCGACCAGGUUUCUUUACUAUCAAUUCUUCACCUUUAAUGGGC